UACGGGGGGGGCAAGCGUUGUUCGGAAUUACUGGGCGUAAAGCGCACGUAGGCGGCUUUGUAAGUUAGAGGUGAAAGCCCGGGGCUCAACUCCGGAACUGCCUUUAAGACUGCAUCGCUUGAAUCCGGGAGAGGUGAGUGGAAUUCCGAGUGUAGAGGUGAAAUUCGUAGAUAUUCGGAAGAACACCAGUGGCGAAGGCGGCUCACUGGACCGGUAUUGACGCUGAGGUGCGAAAGCGUGGGGAGCAAACAGG
RNAcentral lists this ribosomal RNA (253 nucleotides) under uncultured bacterium. Its description in RNAcentral is "partial 16S ribosomal RNA". It matches the Rfam family "Bacterial small subunit ribosomal RNA", at positions 524 to 776 of the family's 1533-position model. The record is from RNAcentral.